UACGUAGGUGGCGAGCGUUGUCCGGAUUUACUGGGUGUAAAGGGCGCGUAGGCGGAUCAGCAAGUCAGUCGUGAAAUACCGGGGCUCAACCCCGGGGCUGCGAUUGAAACUGUUGACCUUGAGUGUCGGAGAGGAAAGCGGAAUUCCUAGUGUAGCGGUGAAAUGCGUAGAUAUUAGGAGGAACACCAGUGGCGAAGGCGGCUUUCUGGACGAUAACUGACGCUGAGGCGCGAAAGUGUGGGGAGCAAACAGG
RNAcentral lists this ribosomal RNA (253 nucleotides) under uncultured bacterium. RNAcentral describes it as "partial 16S ribosomal RNA". It matches the Rfam family "Bacterial small subunit ribosomal RNA", at positions 524 to 776 of the family's 1533-position model. The record is from RNAcentral.